CAAGGCUCUGAUUGGCCUAAUUUGCAGGGGAGAGGGGUGUGAGCUUUUUUGCUAACAGGAGCCGUGCCCCUACAAGAGGGGCAUGGGAAGGCAAAUUAAGUGUUGUCUAUCCUGUAUGAUUGAGGGGCUAGGUGCUGUGGAGAGCUCCUCAGUGCUUCAGACAGUGGGGGAAACCUUCGAGGAGAAUCCAGAGGAGUCCACGGAGAACUUAGAGCUUGCAUUGGGCUUUAAAGGAGAGGAAGGGUUUGCAUAGUACAGAGAAGAGGAGAAAUUAAAACUAAGUGAAGCAGAGAGCCUGCCUGAAAAGCAAGAACACCCAAGGAAACACAGUGGUUGGCCCAUUCUGAGAAAUCCUUCAUCCUGAGUACUUUGAGGACAUCACUCACAGCAUUUUGACCAAGACAAACCUGUGAAUGACAGGCAAAUGCCUGGGUCUAGCAGCACUUGACUAGAACCACUGGGGCUAUAAAACACAGGGUUGGGGCAAAUGAUCUGCCCAGAGGCCCCCACUCGAGUGCUUCACCCAGGACCACCCCAGCCCAUCAGAAUCCGGAAUGGAGUUCAGAGUUACUUCGACCCUUUUUUCUAAUUUGACACCCUCUUUACCAGGUCAAGCAUGGGCCUAGGAGUACUAGUAGAAUGGCUGUACCUGCUCCCAGCGUCCAGACACCCCUGGCCACCAGCAUUGACCUCAUCUCAGACUCACUCCACACAAUCAGAGUGGUCCUAGAUACUCUCACCAGGACAGUGCUCUUCAAACCCUGCACCCAUCUGCCUCCCCAUACACGCUGCCAUCCGUACUACCCAUUGCACACCUCCUCUGUUAGUCACUGAAAGCGCUCUAAGGGCUGCCUGGCUGCUGCCUUUCCAGGCUGCAACCACCAUUUGUAUUCUGGAGUGAACAGUUCAAAACCCUCCAUGUCCACACAGCUUCCUGCCAAUGCAGAGACAGAGUCCUCAGACUGAGCGUAUUAAUGGAUAGAGGGGGAAUGCCACCUUAAGUCCUUCUCCAGGCAACACGGCUUGGCCCCUAACAUCCCAGGCAUCAUGAGAACGAUUUUGCUACUCCUCCACACACACCACUUUGUUUCUAACUUAUCAUGUCCCUGCCUCUACCAGAACUGCUAUCAUCCCCUCAGCUUGCUAGUAUUUAGAGGAGUGACAGGUCCCUUGGAGACCUCCAGAAAAUCGGACUCCAAGAAGCCCCCACCUAAGUGAAGGUCUGUAGGCCUGCCACCUGGCUCUCUCAGGGUACCAGAUGCCUCAGCCCUGUGGCCCUAUGGGCCCAGCGAUUCCCAGUCAUAUUUGCUCCUAGUCUGCCUGCCCUCCCACCAUCCAGCUCUGCAAGCUCCCUGUACAUCUUUGCACCAUCUCACCUGGCUCACCAUGGGAGCAGGAUGACUUGAAUGUGCAUAGGAAUCACCCAGGGAUCUAGUUCUAGGGUGGGGUCCAAGAUUCUGCAUUUCUAUCAAGCUGAAGGCCAAAAGUGCUGGACUGCAGAGAUGCUGCUGGACUGCAGACCGCACUUUGAGAAGCAAGACUUGAUGCCUGAACUAGUACUGCGAUUCCCACCUUCCACUGCCACUAACGGGAGACGGCAGUGCUGGACGCCGGUGACACUCAGCAACUAGCAGCCCUUGCACGCAGCUAGGGCACUAGCCAGCAUGCAGCUAGGUGUACGGCAGCCUGUCAGUGCCAGGUGCUUUAGGGCGCUCUCCCACAAAGAGCGCCAAGAGAGGGAGGCACCAGCCUUGCUCCCCAGAACUAGUCCCCAUUCGAUAGUUAGAACUAGCAAACAGGUCAGUAAUCAAAUGCACUUCCUGCGGUUUUCCCUUCUCCCCAGCCCCGCUUUUUCAUUGUCCUCCCCACGCCUGCCAUUUUAAGGUUCCUAUUUUAAGCCCUGGGUUCAAACCUCAACUCUGCCACCCGCUGACUAAUAGUGCGACCUUGGGCACGUUACUUAACCCUCUGCGCCCGUUUCCUCCUCUGGAUGAUGUGCAUCGUAGAGAAGACUAUGUGUGCAGCGCUCGUUAAAUACUAGCCAUUCCCCUCUCGCCCAUUGUUUGCACUGCUCCGUUCCUCUUCUACCCUGUUUUCCUAACUUAGUCUCGAGGCUCGCUCCCGUAGUGCUUUGUCCCUCCUUAAGAAUUUCCGUAUAUACUUAACACCGCUUUUAAAGCAAGAUCACAAUUUUGUUUACUGUAAAAGAAAGGCUAGAAGUAAACAGGAAAGGGAG
RNAcentral lists this long non-coding RNA (2236 nucleotides) under Equus caballus (horse). RNAcentral's name for it is "lncRNA (ENSECAG00000046449.1)". The record is from RNAcentral. Lineage: Eukaryota; Metazoa; Chordata; Mammalia; Perissodactyla; Equidae.